UUGGAGGCUAGCUCAGCUGUUAGAAUGUCUGCCUCGAAAGUACAAAGCCCUGGGUUCAAGCCCCAGCACAAAG
Molecule: transfer RNA, 73 nt
Filed under: Mus musculus (house mouse)
Lineage: Eukaryota; Metazoa; Chordata; Mammalia; Rodentia; Muridae
Description: tRNA-Ser
Source: RNAcentral